ACGGAAGGUCCGGGCGUUAUCCGGAUUUAUUGGGUUUAAAGGGAGCGCAGGCCGCCCGAUAAGCGUGUUGUGAAAUGUACCGGCUCAACCGGUGAGUUGCAGCGCGAACUGUCAGGCUUGAGUGCACGGUAAGCAGGCGGAAUUCAUGGUGUAGCGGUGAAAUGCUUAGAUAUCAUGAGGAACUCCGAUUGCGAAGGCAGCUUGCUGCAGUGCGACUGACGCUUAGGCUCGAAGGUGCGGGUAUCAAACAG
This 251-nucleotide ribosomal RNA is filed under the name uncultured prokaryote. RNAcentral's name for it is "partial 16S ribosomal RNA". It matches the Rfam family "Bacterial small subunit ribosomal RNA", at positions 525 to 775 of the family's 1533-position model. The record is from RNAcentral.